Molecule: non-coding RNA, 72 nt
Organism: Myotisia sp. PD_48
Lineage: Eukaryota; Fungi; Ascomycota; Eurotiomycetes; Onygenales
Source: the annotation of a GenBank genome assembly
GCCCUCGUGGCCUAAUGGUAAGGCAUCACACUCCUAAUGUGGGGAUUACGAGUUCGAGUCUCGUCGGGGGUG